Molecule: ribosomal RNA, 253 nt
Filed under: uncultured bacterium
Lineage: Bacteria
Description: partial 16S ribosomal RNA
Rfam family: Bacterial small subunit ribosomal RNA
Source: RNAcentral
UACAGAGGUCCCAAGCGUUGUUCGGAUUCACUGGGCGUAAAGGGUGCGCAGGUGGGUUGGCAAGUUCGAUGUGAAAGCCCCGGGCUUAACCCGGGAAUGGCAUUGGAUACUGUUGAUCUGGAGGGUCGGAGGGGGGACUGGAAUUCUUGGUGUAGCAGUGAAAUGCGUAGAUAUCAAGAGGAGCACCAGUGGCGAAGGCGAGUCCCUGGACGAUACCUGACACUGAGGCACGAAAGCCAAGGGAGCAAACAGG